This 197-nucleotide unclassified non-coding RNA is filed under the name fungal sp. RNAcentral's name for it is "partial internal transcribed spacer region". The stretch from base 1 to 46 matches the Rfam family "Eukaryotic small subunit ribosomal RNA", at positions 1786 to 1831 of the family's 1831-position model. Lineage: Eukaryota; Fungi. The record is from RNAcentral.
AAGUCGUAACAAGGUUUCCGUAGGUGAACCUGCGGAAGGAUCAUCAUUGUUAUUGGGGUCAUGGUGGGGGGCUUGCUCCAUUUUUUUGAAUCCCAGCAAAAACAGACAGCAGCUCGGGAUGGCUGAGGUGCGCAGGCAAAUGAGAGACAGGCAAAAAAGGCAGAAACAACUUUCAACAACGGAUCACUUGGCUCUCA